UACGUAGGGUGCAAGCGUUGUCCGGAAUUAUUGGGCGUAAAGAGCUCGUAGGCGGUCUGUUGCGUCGGCUGUGAAAACCCGGGGCUCAACUCCGGGCCUGCAGCCGAUACGGGCAGACUAGAGUUCGGCAGGGGAGACUGGAAUUCCUGGUGUAGCGGUGAAAUGCGCAGAUAUCAGGAGGAACACCGGUGGCGAAGGCGGGUCUCUGGGCCGAUACUGACGCUGAUGCACGAAAGCGUGGGGAGCAAACAGG
RNAcentral lists this ribosomal RNA (253 nucleotides) under uncultured bacterium. RNAcentral's name for it is "partial 16S ribosomal RNA". It matches the Rfam family "Bacterial small subunit ribosomal RNA", at positions 524 to 776 of the family's 1533-position model. The record is from RNAcentral.